GACGAACGCUGGCGGCGUGCUUAACACAUGCAAGUCGAACGGGCCUUGUCCCCUUUUUUUUUGGGGGUGGGGUUAGUGGCGAACGGGUGAGUAACACGUGAGUAACCUGCCCCUCACUUCUGGAUAACCGCUUGAAAGGGUGGCUAAUACGGGGUGUUCUGGCCUGCUCGCAUGGGUGGGUUUGGAAAGAUUCGACCGGUUUUGGUUGUUUUGGUGGGGGAUGGGCUCGCGGCCUAUCAGCUUGUUGGGGGGGUGAUGGCCUGCCAAGGCUUUGACGGGUAGCCGGCCUGAGAGGGUGGGCGGUCACACUGGGACUGAGACGCGGCCCAGACUCCUACGGGAGGCAGCAGUGGGGAAUAUUGCACAAUGGGCGCAAGCCGGAUGCAGCGACGCCGCGUGAGGGAUGGAGGCCUUCGGGUUGUGAACCUCUUUCGCCAGUGAAGAAGGUCCUGCUCUUUGUGGUGGGGUUGACGGUAGCUGGGUUAAUGAAGCGCCGGCUAACUACGUG
This 508-nucleotide ribosomal RNA is filed under the name uncultured bacterium. Its description in RNAcentral is "partial 16S ribosomal RNA". It matches the Rfam family "Bacterial small subunit ribosomal RNA", at positions 28 to 507 of the family's 1533-position model. The record is from RNAcentral.